GCGGGUGUAGUUUAGUGGUAAAACCUCAGCCUUCCAAGCUGAUGUCGGGAGUUCGAUUCUCCUCACCCGCUCCA
This 74-nucleotide transfer RNA is filed under the name Salimicrobium halophilum. RNAcentral's name for it is "tRNA_Gly_TCC". It matches the Rfam family "tRNA". From Rfam's summary of the family: Transfer RNA (tRNA) molecules are approximately 80 nucleotides in length. Their secondary structure includes four short double-helical elements and three loops (D, anti-codon, and T loops). RNAcentral also lists the same sequence under 1 other name. Lineage: Bacteria; Bacillati; Bacillota; Bacilli; Caryophanales; Bacillaceae. The record is from RNAcentral.